CAGGCAGAAUUCUGACAUCUCAGCCAUAUAACCCAUGCAUUCCUAAGAAGAUUCCGGGAAGGGCUGCGCACAUGGGUCCUGGGAGCAGGCUAAAACCAUUCCUUAUAGGCCGACCCCGUGGCGCACUCGGGAGAGUGCGGCGCUGGGAGCGCAGCAGUGCUCCCGCCGCGGGUUCGGAUCCUAUAUAAGGAUGGCCGGUGUGCUGAGCGAGACAUUGUCCUCUGUUGUGAGUGCCCACUGAGGAAGAUUCUGGGGUCCAAAGCUUGGUCUUUCACCUGCCUGGAGAAUGCUGCUGGUCUAUCGGAUCUCUCUGUUCUGACUUCCUUCUCGUUCUUUCAGAGCAUUUCUCAGAGAACAGUAAAAAACAGAGAAGUAACACAUUAAUCCUGGAGCUUUGAGGGUAAAGAAGAGGAAAAAGCCUUCCACAAAGUGCAUCUAGCUGGGAGCUAAGGGGCCAAGCACACACAGGAAUAUUUUUUCCCCUUCUUGACUUCUUUAGACCCCCACAGCUUCCUACAGAAGGCACUGCCCCCAGCUCAGCUCACUGGGCUGCAGCAGCUGACUUUCCACCCUUAGUCAAAAGCACAUACUCCCUGUCAGAAGCCCACGGUGUGAUGCCGAGGAUUCCAGCACCAGCGCCUCACCAUCACAAGCUCACGAGGACAAGGACAUCCUCAGUGCCACCUCACAGCCAACAUAACAUCAGUGGAAGGUAGCGCUGUGGACACUACGCACUGGAACUCAAGAGCCACGGGGAUGAUGCAGAGACGAGACCCAAACAAGGUAGGGGACAGAAGGGUCAGUUCUUCACCUGUGCAAUGACUCUGUGCCAGUCACAGCUCUAGGGAUUUCUGGUUCUUACUUCAUUACUCCACCACUAACUCUUGUUGACCAUCUCCAUUUUAAGAAGUGAGUAAAACAAGGGUCAGAAAAGGUUAAAUAACUAGCACUAGCUCUCACCACUAGAUGUGGCUAAUUCCACCACCCGGGCUCUUCAGAAUAUAACACGGCCAACCCUCCAUCUCUCCCCAGAGGAAUGAGGGUCCCACCGAAUGGGAACUUGGAACUCCCAGAAGAGUAAUAACUUUUGUGGCCCUCUUGGGUAAAGAAAAGCAAACAAGACCCAACCCAACGUGAGUCAGAAAAAAAUUACUUUCCAUCCUACCUCAUUUCUCGGAGCACAUAGGUGAAAUAAUUCACAUCCGGAGAAGUUGAUAAAUCUAUCUGGUGAAGUUUGGGGAGGGAGUUUCCUCGUUAGGAAAGUUUGAGCAAAAACAAACACUACCUCGGUCUAUUUCUAUGAGGUACACGCAUCAAGAAAACACACCUCAGCGGCAGUUGGUUAUCUUUCGCACCCACUGGAAAAAAUUGGCUUCAUCAUUUAGCUCAGCGGCACUUUCCACCAGGUAAGUCUCAGAGCUGCCGAUUAGGCAGUGUAGGAGCAGGUUCCGGCUAGGGGUGAUUAGAUCGAUUUCCAGAAGCUUUCACCCCAACCCCACCCCCUCUCUUUAUAUCCCCCAUACGUGAGCAACAGAGGAAUGGGACUGGAGGGAGGGGGGUGCAAAAGUGGAGAAUCCAUCCAAGAUCAGCAAAACAGCAGGCUAGAGAGAGUGCAGCGAAAUGCGAUCAUUGAUGACCACAGAAAACUGGAUUUAUUGACACCAUUUACCCAGCCCAGGGACUGAAGGUAAAAUGAGAGGCAUGAGGUUCAUGACAGAAGAAGGAAAAAACCAAACUCACUACUGACUCCUUCCCUCUGUUAUUUACUUCGCUUCUGAUGAGCAGUCCUCAAAACCCUCUGUUCUGUAGACAUGAUCCUCUUCAAGACUGAAUGACUCCAAGAGGCAGCAAAGUCCAAGGGGGUUAAGAUCUGUAUUUGAAUCCAGCUCUGCCUCUUACUGUCCACGUGACCCUGGACAAGUGUCUUUAUGUGUCAGUCUUAGUAUCUUCCUAUGCAAAAGACAAACACUGCCUACCUCACAGGGCUGCUGUAAUAAAAAGGCAACUCCAGGUAAAGCACUUAGCACCGAACGAAGCAUAUCAUAAGAGGUGAAUGAACGGUUAUUUCACAGAGAAGGAAACAGAAGCCAGAGGGAAGCCAGUGCUAGCUGAAGUGGCAUUUAAUUCAAUGUGAGCAGAGAUGGGAUAAGAAUGAGACUUUACAGGCUGCAAAACCAAGACUCUCAUAUCCAUCCUUCCCCUCUGAAUUUAAAUCAACUGCUCCUAAAUAGGUUUGAAGGAAUAGAGAAUGAGAAGGGAGAGGGAGCAGCAAGAAGAACGUUCACAAGGAAUGACAUUUGGAACCUGCAGCUGCUCUUGUGGCCUAAGCAGCAUCCAGCCACUCCCACCCUCUGAGCUGCAGACAGCGACAGUAUGCCUUUGCAGGAACCACUGGGUGGGAACCUGGACACCUGCAACCUGGGAACUUGGCCAGAUCCAGGCUACAGAAGACCCUCACCCUGUAGCGCAUUUCCUCCUCUCCUUCCCUCCACUUUGUCAGUUACUCCAGGAAAAGGAGAAUAGACCAAACAGCAGAAAAAACAAAUAGGAUCCCAAAAGCAAAAAGAAAGAGAAGGUCUUAGCAUGAAGCUGGGCCCAUGACUUCCCCAAUAUUUUGGAAAGACCCUAGGGCCCCUCAUCACACUCUGAAAAAUGUGCCCUCCUACCCCAGGACUUCAGUAGAAGUGUUAUUUUGUUUGGGUUGGGGUUUUUUUUGUUUUGUUUUUUUGGGUUUUGGGGCUUUUUUUUAACAAAUAGCAAGGAAGACAGGGGAGCCAGGCCCCGACUUGGAAGGAGCCAUGGUGUGAAGGAUGGGUGUCAGAGCCAGAAGUCCAGCAUCAGGUGCAGGACCAGGAUGGGCCUACCUGUGCUGCUCCACAGCCUCGUUGUCUGGCAGCUCGACCCCACACACGCUGCACUGCUCCCCGAUGGUCCGGCUCUCGGACUUCAUGCCCACAGCCAGCUCCCCCAGCUUGCUGAACAGCUCCCUCUGGAUGAAGCCCUGGGGCAGCAGCCCCCCAUAGGUGCUGAAGUCCAUGGAGACGGCCAGGGCAGGCUGCACAUGCAGGCCAGAGGUCACUGAAGAUGGCAUGCUCAACACAGCAUCAGCCUUGUGGUUGGGCAAUACAGAAUAGAUGCCCAGAUGUUUCUCAGCUGGGGGCGCUGAGGGCUCCGGUCGGCCAAGGGGGCCCUGGACAGCCUCAGUUGGGGGUGGCAGCUGCUCAGCACUUUCCUCUCGCCCAUAGUGCAGCUCCCUAGCACUGGUGAUGACGCUGCUUCGAGUUGGAGUCCCAGGCCCUUCUUUGCCCCUUUCCUCCACCUUGUCCCCCAUCCCUCCUGAGAAGCUGGACUCGGCUGCCCCAGGGCUGUCCUCGCCAGGUGCCUCAUCCACCUGCAUCAUCUCUGUCUUCACCUCAGCCACCCCUGGGUGCCUCCCACCCCCAGCCAGAGCUGGCUCCUCAGGCCCUGCAGGUGGCUGAAGAGUUCCCUGCAGGAGAGACUGUCCUAUGGUCAUCAAACUGUCCACUGCAGCCUUGGUGGGACUCAUGGCUGAAAGACCAAAUGAGGCGGAGGCAGAAGGGCUCUGGUCCACCAUGGGCCCAGGAAGGCUCUGUCCAGCCACACUGGCAUACCCACUCUCCUCGCUGGAAUGCUUCGAGAUGAAGAUGUUCUUGAGGUACCGAGCCUUGCGGUCCUCUUCUUCUUCGGGCCCGCCGUCAGCCAUGGUGGCCUCUGUGUCAUUGUCAUCUGAGGCCUGGAUGGUCUCCAAAAUCUUCAGGCACUGCUCCUCCAGGUACUCGAUCUCCAGGAUCUCGGCUGCAUACAACAGGUCAUCCAGGUCCUCGGCCUUGGCUUGCAGCGUGGCCGUGUAUGCAUACUCCAGAAUCUGCUGGAAGGUCUUUGGCGAGAGGAAGUCCAGAGUAUAGUGCUGGCUAUUGCGGUGGAAGAGGAUCUCAAACAUCUUGCUGGUGCAGGCCAGCACCGUCCGGUGGGCGUGAAACUCCUGGCUGUCCACCAUGAUGACCACGUCGCACAGAGUCCCGGCCAGCCGCAUCUGGUUGGCUUUGCACAGCAGCCCCGUGGGGUGGCUGGGGUUCUGCAGCUGGAUCAUGCCCAUCUUCGUCAGAUCCAUGGUGCACCCCUCGGCUCAGGCAUGAGGCUCUCUUUCCUCCCAGGCUGUGCGUGUCAGAGCAAGGUGGGCUUCCUGGGCCAAUGGAGAGGA
This is a long non-coding RNA of Cynocephalus volans (Philippine flying lemur), 4222 nucleotides long. RefSeq lists it as uncharacterized. The transcript has 3 exons. The record is from RefSeq and is a predicted model, not a curated record. NCBI's taxonomy places the organism in Eukaryota, Metazoa, Chordata, Mammalia, Dermoptera, Cynocephalidae.